RNAcentral lists this long non-coding RNA (318 nucleotides) under Elaeis guineensis (African oil palm). RNAcentral's name for it is "long non-coding RNA (EGUI_LNC002770)". The record is from RNAcentral. Lineage: Eukaryota; Viridiplantae; Streptophyta; Magnoliopsida; Arecales; Arecaceae.
CUCUCAGAAAUCUAGGAGGCUAGAUCGGAGGUGGAGCACUUGAAGAAAAAGCUGAAAGAGAGAAAGAUAAAUCACAAGCUUCUCUAAGAUAAAUUUAUAGAUCAGAGAAUUUUACUUAAACGUACUGAAAGCAAGAAAAAGCAAUUGGAAAAAGAAGGGGCUAAGAUUAUAGCCCGAGCUUGUAGAGCAGCGUUCUUCAUGGGCUUUGAGAAGUGCAAGUCCGUUGCCCAGCUUCAAACUAAUUGUCUGGACGAGGAUUUGCAGGUGGUGUUUUUUGACAACUUGUCAAGGUUCACGAAGACAUCCUACUUUCGAGAU